This 1453-nucleotide ribosomal RNA is filed under the name metagenome. Its description in RNAcentral is "bacterial LSU rRNA". It matches the Rfam family "Bacterial large subunit ribosomal RNA", at positions 1482 to 2925 of the family's 2925-position model. The record is from RNAcentral.
UUAACUCGGCCAACUGUUGGAUAUGUUGGUUCAAGCCUGUAGUCGUGCCUGGUAGGUAAAUCCGCCGGGCUUAGAUGAGGGGUGAUAACGAGGCUGCUUGCAGCCGAAGUGAGCGAUACCCAGCUUCCAGGAAAAGCCACUAAGCUUCAGCUACACACGACCGUACCGCAAACCGACACUGGUGCGCGAGAUGAGUAUUCUAAGGCGCUUGAGAGAACUCAGGAGAAGGAACUCGGCAAAUUGACACCGUAACUUCGGAAGAAGGUGUGCCUUUAGUAGGUGAACCUGUACAAGGGGAGCCCAAUGAGGUUGCAAAAAAUCGGUGGCUGCGACUGUUUAUUAAAAACACAGCACUCUGCAAACACGAAAGUGGACGUAUAGGGUGUGACGCCUGCCCGGUGCUGGAAGAUUAAAUGAUGGGGUGCAAGCUCUUGAUUGAAGUCCCAGUAAACGGCGGCCGUAACAAUAACGGUCCUAAGGUAGCGAAAUUCCUUGUCGGGUAAGUUCCGACCUGCACGAAUGGCGUAACGAUGGCCACACUGUCUCCUCCUGAGACUCAGCGAAGUUGAAAUGUUUGUGAUGAUGCAAUCUCCCCGCGGAAAGACGGAAAGACCCCAUGAACCUUUACUGUAGCUUUGUAUUGGACUUUGAACAGAUCUGUGUAGGAUAGGUGGGAGGCUUUGAAGCAGGGUCGCUAGAUCUUGUGGAGCCAACGUUGAAAUACCACCCUGGUGUGUUUGAGGUUCUAACCUAGGUCCAUUAUCUGGAUCGGGGACAGUGCAUGGUAGGCAGUUUGACUGGGGCGGUCUCCUCCCAAAGUGUAACGGAGGAGUUCGAAGGUACGCUAGGUACGGUCGGACAUCGUGCUAAUAGUGCAAUGGCAUAAGCGUGCUUAACUGCGAGACUGACAAGUCGAGCAGAUGCGAAAGCAGGACAUAGUGAUCCGGUGGUUCUGUAUGGAAGGGCCAUCGCUCAACGGAUAAAAGGUACUCUGGGGAUAACAGGCUGAUACCGCCCAAGAGUUCAUAUCGACGGCGGUGUUUGGCACCUCGAUGUCGGCUCAUCUCAUCCUGGGGCUGUAGCCGGUCCCAAGGGUAUGGCUGUUCGCCAUUUAAAGAGGUACGUGAGCUGGGUUUAAAACGUCGUGAGACAGUUUGGUCCCUAUCUUCCGUGGGCGCUGCAGAUUUGAGGAAGCCUGCUCCUAGUACGAGAGGACCGGAGUGGACAUACCUCUGGUGUAUCGGUUGUCACGCCAGUGGCAUUGCCGAGUAGCUAAGUAUGGAAGAGAUAAACGCUGAAAGCAUCUAAGCGUGAAACUCGUUUCAAGAUGAGAUCUGCCGGGGCCUUGAGCCCCCUGAAGAGUCGUUCAAGACCAGGACGUUGAUAGGUCAGGUGUGGAAGCGCAGUAAUGCGUUAAGCUAACUGAUACUAAUUGCUCGUGCGGCUUGACCCG